AAGUCGUAACAAGGUUUCCGUAGGUGAACCUGCGGAAGGAUCAUUAAUGUAUUGAUUGCAUAUCACAAUGCUUUCCUUAUAUAUGAUGAUAGGUUCAGGGAGAGUCUUCAUAUAUAUGAUGAAUAUAUGAGAAUACGAAAAUCCUUGGUACUCGCAUGCGACUGCCCGUCACAUUCACUUGUGCGAGCAUGUUGUUAGUUUCUAAAGGGCUACGCCAAGGUACCCCACAUACCCCCACGAUAAGAAAUGCGUCGUCUCGCGUAAAGCUGAGGCGCUCGCGUAUAUUUCUUGAGUGUGAAACAACCAUGUUGAUAUCAGAGAGUGUGUAAGCAAUAUAAAAUAUUGUAAAUUUUAACCCUAGACAGAGGAUCACUUGGCUCAU
RNAcentral lists this unclassified non-coding RNA (382 nucleotides) under air metagenome. RNAcentral describes it as "partial contains small subunit ribosomal RNA, internal transcribed spacer 1, and 5.8S ribosomal RNA". The stretch from base 1 to 46 matches the Rfam family "Eukaryotic small subunit ribosomal RNA", at positions 1786 to 1831 of the family's 1831-position model. The record is from RNAcentral.